This 5319-nucleotide long non-coding RNA is filed under the name Salvia miltiorrhiza (redroot sage). RNAcentral's name for it is "long non-coding RNA (SMIL_LNC010339)". The record is from RNAcentral. Lineage: Eukaryota; Viridiplantae; Streptophyta; Magnoliopsida; Lamiales; Lamiaceae.
AAAUAUACGAAAACAUUAGAAGAGAAAACUCCUAGAGAGUACUAUGGUUUCAAUCGGAGAUUUCCUAGCUGUCGAAGAUUGAAACAUGCAUUGGGAAUUGUUCCUGCAUCGAAUCGACAUGCACGUGGAUACCUCUAGUGGUGGAUUCAAUUCGCGGGAAUCGAGACACGUUUACUACACAACGAGUAAGUUAAUUUUGUUGUUGUGUACGUUUGUAAUCUCUACACAUGAAUCAAUUGUAAAUCUAGAUCUAAUCCUUGACUGUUAUUUCCGCUGCGUAUCAUUGGAUGAUGUCAAGGAUAACCAACAAACCGAUCACCUAAAAUUAACACAUCUUCAUCUGCUGAUAGAUGCAUCCCCAUUUUCCCGAGCUUCCCCUCUGAACUUCCUGUAAAUAUCUCCCUUGUAAAACUCCCUCGUCCUCACCACUAAAAUCAGAGACGAGAGCGCUCCGAAGAAGGUGACCGACGCCAGAAUCACAAACGCCGACCGGUAGCAUCCGGCGCCGAUGCAGACGAGCUCCUUCGCCGCCGACCUGCUCAUCCCCUUCUCCCUCAACUCCUUCAGCGCCGCCCCGUCGUAGAGCGGCCCCGUCACCUUCACGUUCAGCACGUACGACCCCAGCGGGCUCGCCAGCUGCCCGCAGUUGAACAGCGUCGAGUAGUAUUUCAGGCCAAAAAGCUCCGAGAUGAUGGCGAAGAUCAGCGGCAGCUGAGCCCCGAACGAGAACCCGAUGAUCACCGACGCCGCGUACACCGAUCCCGGGAACGGGAACGCGACGAGGAGGAGGCCGGCGCAGGAGAGGAAGAGCACCAGCGUCAUCAUCAGCGGCCGAGGGAACUUGUAUCUGAUCAGAAGAGAUUCCGACACGAAUCCGGCGAAGAUUCUGCCGAAGUAAUUCCAUAUGCUGAGAAGUGAAACAAAUGUGUUGAUCGUCUUCUGCGGGUAGCCUAGAGAUUCCCCGAUCUGUCCGAGGUUGUCUACGGCGGUCAAGCUCGAACCUAAGCCGCAGAAGGUUGCCAGAAACAGGACGAUCAUGUCGGUGCUCAGAAGGGCUUGCAGUAUCGUGUAGUCUUCCCCUCUCUCCGGCUUGUUCAAGAACGUCGUCGCGAAACAGGAUGUUUCUGUUUUGUUUCUUGAUUUCUCUUCUUCGCUGUUGUUGUUGUUGUUGUCUAUUGUUAUUUGAGGAGGAGGAACGAUGAUGGGUUCUUUCAUCCAAGCUCUGGAUUCUUCUCUAAUGGCGAUCAGCAGAGGCACAAACAGAGCUGCGCAGACGACGGUGGCGCUGGCGGCGUACGCCGCCGGCGGGAAUCCGACGAGUACUUUCUGGAGUAUAGUCAUGACCAUGAUGAAGAGCGCGAGCAGGAUCGACACGUAGAGGAACUGGUAGAAGAUCCUGAGCUCGUCGGCGGUCUGCCGCACCACCUUGAGCUCGCGGAUGGUGAAGACGAAGACGACGGAGAGCGCGGCGGGCAGCCAGGCGAUGAGGAGGAUGAGCGCCUUGGAGUCGUUGCCGUAGACGGCGAGGUAGACCUGCGUGAGGAUGGCGCCGCUGAGGCCGGUGAAGCCCUUGAGCAGCCCGAUCAUGCUGCCGCGGCUCUCCGGGAAGUUCCCGACGGAGGUGACGAGCGCGCCGGUGUUGGCGAAGUUCUGCGAGUUGGCGCCGAUGCAUAUGUAGAGACACAUCUGCCACACUUUGGGGGCGGCGAUCCUGCCCGUGACGGCCAGCCAUAUCAUGAAGUAGCCGGUGAAGUUCAUGGCGGAGCCGACGAGCAGCACGAACCACGUGGGCGUGACCUCGGCGAUGAGGCCCGACAGCACGCCGAAGUUGGCGCCGAGGUCUUUGAAGAAUCCGAGGAGGUUGAGCGUCGUCUGGUCGUACCCCAGCGACGCCUUGAUCUCCUUCGAGUAGACGCCGAAGAGGUACGUGGCGCCGGCGCCGGCCAUGAUCAGGAACGACGCGAAGAGGGAGAACCACCGCCCGCGUAUCACGUGCGCCGCGAAGCGCAGCCGGCCGCCGCCGCCGCCGGUGGUUGCUGUCGCUUCAACCAUUUUGCUUUUUGCUCUUCGCUUCAGCUCAGCUCAGCUCGGCCUUAUAUUAAAUAAAUUGGGGAAUUAGAGUUGAAUCUGAUUGACCAAACAAGGAAAGUCGUCUCUACCGCAAUGCGGUGUACGAUGUUGCAUUUCUGGAUUAAUCGGAUUCUAUGAAUCAUGGUCACGUGUUGUGAUGAUUUUUUUAGGAUAAGAUUAAAAUGUGAUGAGUGAUAAUUAUUGGGUAAUGGAUGAUGAUGGAAGCAAUUAGUGUUAUUAUAAGAGGGGAAGACACAGCUGAGUGGAGAAUAAAUGGUGGUUGAAGAUUUUCCAACAGUGGAUACAAGGCCAACGUAACGGCUACAAAUAUGUAGUGAUGCAUUCGAACGAGGCAGGACCACAUUUCAUUUCUCAUUACAGUUUCCUUGCUGACGCAAUAUAUUCGACUGUGCUUAUAAUAGAUAAAAAUUUAAUUAACUAAUUAAUUUACUAUUGUCCAAGUUCAUAUAAUAUUUGCCUGGAGUGUAUUAGGGCAGGUAUUAAGGAAAUAGAAAACGUAAUGCACUUCUAACAAGGAAAUUUUGUUACUAAAGUUUUGGAAUUGAUUAGAAAUGGAUAAUGGAUUGUUUUUGCUGAAUCAAUAUAUAUAUAUAUAUAUAUAUAUAUAUAUAUAUAUAUAUAUAUAUANAUAUAUAUAUAUAUAUAUAUAUAUAUAUAUAUAUAUAUACAUCAUGUAAUUGAAAUAAAAAAGACGCCCAUUUACAUUUUAUUCUUUCAAAUUUAAAUACAUUUGACCUUUUUUCAAAAUUUAUAAAUUGAGUACUUUAUGAAUAGCACAAGUUUUUCAGAACAGCGCCUAAUUAACCCGAAGUUAUGGGUUAUAAUCACAAGCCUAAUAAUAAUGCAAGUGGAGACGUUAUAAAAUUGGUGACAUGCCUAAGAUUUAUACACAAAAUCUUGGGUACACCUGGGUGUACCGUACAACCGGGUUGAUCCGUAUCCAAAAUAGUGUUAUUUAUAUAGUUUGGAUUAGGGUAUGAGUUCAAAUUAGUACGCAUCAAAGUUUAAGUGAAGGUGCAACUCAGUUGUACGAUACAACCGGGUGUACCCAAGACCGCCUCAUAUUUAUAUUAUAGCUUUAUGGGCCCUAACUUGAAAUAGACUUUGCCAUUGAAAGAAGUACUUGAGAAUUAUUGGCCUCGUCUUAUUUGCAUUUGUUAAGAAAUAAAUUUAUCGAAUUAUUAGUAGUGGAUAGUAAGUCAUUUUUAAAAGUUUAUUUGGAAAUAAGCAAAUUAAUUUGUAAUUUGGGCAAUAUGUUUGCAUUCUAGUAUAAUGUAUAUUAUCGUAAAUAUAAAUCCAACUAAUAAAUGUUACUAUAAGUUCUUAAUUUAUGUGAUUCGAUUAGAUUUUUUUCAUAUAUUUUUUUUUUAAGUUGAGAAAUGGAGAAUUGGAUGUCUCGAAUAUAAUUUGAUCAAUUAUAUUAGACCCUUAAACAAGCUUUUGGCCUUCAUCAAAGUUCCACGGGAAUAGCGAAGUUUUUUACUCAAUAACUAUAUUCCUAAAUUUCGUGUAAUUCAAUUCAGAAAACUAAUUAAAUAGGUCAAUGUGUUUUAUCUAAAAUGGCCAAUGAAGCCUUGCUCUAGUGGUAAAGUUGAGACACUCAAAGACUCUUUUUUGUGAGAGGUUUUAGAUUCAAUCCCGCCUGCGUGCGGUCAUGUUUUCCCACUUUAGGUCUUGUAUUAGGUCUUGUAUUCUCGUCUGCGUGGGGUGUUGUAUUGUUGAUGUUGAGGUCCCACACGUAAGACGUUUCUCGCCCGUAGAAUUGAUUAUAUUCAGAUAUAUCUUGUAAUUUUAAUUUUUUUUAAGUAAAAUGGUUUCAAAAUGAAACUUAAUCACUCCUUAAUUAGUGAUAUCGUAAUAAUCUUUUAGGUGGAAAUAAAUAAAAUAUAUUGGAUUUAUUAAGACAUAAUGCAUAUUGUUCAAAUUUAAGAAUUCCAUCAUGUGAAAAAGUAAAGGAAAAAGAUUUUUUAGGGAAUAUGUAGUAUAUACUAAUGUGGGGGAAUAAUACCCCAUUACCCACCCCUAGUCACGUGUUCACAUUUCACAUGUUCACGCACUGUUUCAUAUUAUUCUGUUCCUACCUAAUUGUUAAUUAAACAUUGGAUAUUAAUCAAUUAUUAAUUAAAAAUCAUUAGAGGCCAAAUUUUUUUUGAAGGACAUAAGAGAUUAAUUUUUAGUUGGGGUUUAAUCUUAAAAUAAGGAUUUAUUAAUUUAUAUUAUUAAUUUUAAACUAAAAUAUAUGAACACAAUUAAAAUUUUAGAGGAUGGACACAUAAACUUGGAAUUUAGUGUAUCAAGUGCUAGCACUUUGUGUCCUAUUUCCAUUUUUUAUUUAUUUUUUUCUUCAAUUUCAAUUUUGUAUGCGUUAGUUUAAUUUUGUAAUGAUUAAUUAGGAUUUGUUCAAUCCAAUUAGGAUAUAUAGUAAUUAUUUUUUUAUAGUUAGAAUCAAAUAUUUACGGGGGAAAAGUAAAAUAAAAAAUAUAUAUAAAAAAUCAAAUAUUUACCUUCUACGGCCCGCCACGCCAGUCUCCAUCUGUAAAGUGGGGAUGCACAUCACUUUAAUAGCAAAAUAUUAUUUCUUUUAGUUUUUUGUUUUAAUGAACUAACUUUUUUUUUUUUUUGAUCAAUAAAAUUCAAUAACUGAAACGGUACCAGAGGUACCAAAACGUCAAACAAGGGGCGAGUACUCGUUGGAGCACCACUCAGAAAAAGCAACAUUCGACUCUACAACAUGAAAAACCUUGUUCCAACUCCAGAGCCUACCCUUGAUAUCUUUCAAGACAUUGGGCACCUCCCAGUUCUUACUCUCGAACCUACUCUCAUUUCUAUAUUUCCACAGCAUCCACACAGUUCCAAUCCACAGGGCUUUUAUAAAUGUAGAAGAUGAAUUUGCAUUAUUAAUUGAGUCAAGACGAUGAAAAAUAUCAAUUAUUGCUGGCCAAUCUUUGACGUAUCAGGCAGUCGUUCAAAGCAUUUAGAUCAUGGCAAUCAAUUUUAGGAGGGAUCGAAAUCAUAUUAUCAUCAUUCAUCAUAUUAUAACAUCGGCAACAUAAUUAAAUUAAUUGGCGGGCCAAGUAUUGCUAGAUCCACCGCACAACUGAAGUCAUGCUCAUAUCUUCUUUUAAUGUUCAAUGAUGGAGGUGAUGAUGUUUUUUUAUAUCCAGUUGAAUACAUAAUCCUUGAAGUUUGUUGAAUUUACAGUAUAGAUUUUGUACUCAAUUCUCUUCU